Molecule: transfer RNA, 76 nt
Filed under: Candidatus Babelota bacterium
Lineage: Bacteria
Description: tRNA-Ala
Rfam family: tRNA
About the family: Transfer RNA (tRNA) molecules are approximately 80 nucleotides in length. Their secondary structure includes four short double-helical elements and three loops (D, anti-codon, and T loops).
Source: RNAcentral
GGGGGUGUAGCUCAGUUGGUAGAGCGUCCGCUUUGCAAGCGGAAGGCCAGCGGUUCGAAUCCGCUCAUCUCCACCA